Molecule: RNA transcript, 1944 nt
Organism: Tarenaya hassleriana
Lineage: Eukaryota; Viridiplantae; Streptophyta; Magnoliopsida; Brassicales; Cleomaceae
Gene name: rab9 effector protein with kelch motifs
Exons: 17
Source: RefSeq, a predicted model, not a curated record
CAGAAAGGGGAGAUCUGGACAUUACUUCAACCACGAAGCCCGAGAGAGAAGCAGAUUCCUCAGAUUGAUCAGUGAAUCUUUGAGGAAAAAAAUCCGACAUCGAUUCCAUAUGCAUCACUGGGUUCGAGCUUCUUCUACCGAUUUCGGCGGAACUCCUCCUCAACCGCGGAGUGGCCACACUGCCGUCAAUGUCGGAAAAUCCAUGGUGGUUGUGUUUGGUGGUCUCGUCGACAAGAAAUUCCUCAGCGACAUAGUUGUCUACGACAUCGACAACAAGCUCUGGUUUCAGCCAGAAUGCACUGGCAGUGGGUCUGACGGGCAAAUAGGCCCCAGUCCGCGCGCGUUUCAUGUUGCUGUUGCAAUUGAUUGUCAUAUGUUCAUCUUUGGCGGACGGUCUGGUAACAAAAGGUUGGGCGACUUUUGGGUCCUAGAUACAGAUAUAUGGCAGUGGUCUGAGCUGACCAGUUUCGGUGACUUGCCUUCACCACGUGAUUUUGCGUCUGCUGCUGCUAUUGGGAACCAGAAAAUUGUAUUGUGUGGUGGCUGGGAUGGUAAAAAGUGGUUAUCAGAUGUGUAUGUUAUGGACACAAUAUCCCUUGAAUGGAUGGAGCUGUCGGUUUCUGGAUCUCUACCGCCUCCUAGGUGUGGCCACACUGCUACCAUGGUUGAGAAAAGGUUGCUUGUUUUUGGUGGCAGAGGAGGGGGCGGCCCAAUCAUGGGUGAUUUGUGGGCAUUGAAAGGUUUGAUAGAUGAAGAGCGUGAAACACCUGGAUGGACCCAACUCAAGCUUCCUGGCCAAGCACCAUCAGCAAGGUGUGGCCAUACAGUUACCUCUGGAGGACACUAUCUUCUGUUAUUUGGGGGACAUGGAACUGGUGGAUGGUUGAGCCGUUAUGAUGUCUAUUAUAAUGACACUAUCAUUUUGGACAGAGUAACCGCUCAGUGGAAGCGUUUACCAAUUAGCAAUGAGUCUCCUCCUGUUCGAGCUUACCAUUCUAUGACUUGCAUUGGCUCUCGUCAUCUAUUAUUUGGUGGUUUUGAUGGGAAAUCAACAUUUGGUGAUCUCUGGUGGUUGGUUCCGGAAGAUGACCCGAUAGCCAAGAGGUCUUCUAUACAUCAAAUUGGAAAUUCUCCUGAAAUCAAGAAUUCAGAAACGGAAUUUGAUAAGGAGGAAAGGCAAAAAGAAAAAUCGGCUAUCGCUGAACUGCAAAAGAAGCUUGAAUUGUCUAUGUCAUGUGGGUUGCACCUUCAGAUUGUAGAGGAGUCAGAAGAUAAAGAAUUCAUCGAGUUAGGAACAAGGUUGAUCAGUGGAGAAGUGGUUGGUGAUCAGGCUUCCUUGGUUCAGGUGGCAGCACUGGCAUGUCGUGAGCAUUGGAAGGAGUCCACCCCGAUGGCUAUACAAUUGAAAGAACUCGGUCCUUUGCUCAGAGAUUAUCAACGUCUGGUUACUCGAAAAUACGUGGCCAAUAACGGGUUGGCAUCGGUUGAUUCUGGGCUCUCGAGGAAAGAAACCUUCAAGUUUUAUCAUCUCAAAAAUCCUUCCCAGUUACGGAUGGAUGACAUCCCGAAGUUGCUUGAAGAGUACAAAACCCUUCUAUCCGAUUGAAGAGUACUUCGGUAUACCUCUUCGUAUGGAGGAACUACAAGCUACUGUCAGGAAGAAGAUGCUAAGAAGAUCACAGACGCAGAUAUCAGAAGGCUGAAGUUUAAGAGAAUCUAAUCUUGGAAUAAGGAUUCAUCGAAUUACCUCCGUCAAUGCGGAAACAAGGUGAUCUUUCUCUUUGUUCUUUUCAUUGGAAGCUUGUAGUUUCACCUUGUAUUCCUUUUCCUGCCUAUAUCUUCUGUUAGAACGAUGGGCUUGAAACAUGUAGAGAUGCCAGAGAAUGACAAAAUACGAUAGAUUCAAGUGUCAAACCUUCUUUUGAUAUCCCGGUUUGCUGCGUC